UACGUAGGGGGAAAGCGUUGUCCGGAUUCAUUGGGCGUAAAGAGCGUGUAGGCGGCCAGGUAGGUCGGUUGUGAAAACUGGAGGCUCAACCUUCAGACGUCGACCGAAACCAUCUGGCUAGAGUCCGGGAGAGGAGAGUGGAAUUCCUGGUGUAGCGGUGGAAUGCGCAGAUAUCAGGAGGAACACCGAUGGCGAAGGCAGGUCUCUGGGCCUGCACUGACGCUCAUGCACGAAAGCGUGGGGAGCAAACAGG
This 253-nucleotide ribosomal RNA is filed under the name uncultured bacterium. Its description in RNAcentral is "partial 16S ribosomal RNA". It matches the Rfam family "Bacterial small subunit ribosomal RNA", at positions 524 to 776 of the family's 1533-position model. The record is from RNAcentral.